Molecule: ribosomal RNA, 521 nt
Filed under: Romanogobio kesslerii (Kessler's gudgeon)
Lineage: Eukaryota; Metazoa; Chordata; Actinopteri; Cypriniformes; Gobionidae
Description: partial 16S ribosomal RNA
Rfam family: Bacterial large subunit ribosomal RNA
Source: RNAcentral
CAGCCUGCCCAGUGACUACGGGUUCAACGGCCGCGGUAUUUUGACCGUGCAAAGGUAGCGCAAUCACUUGUCUUUUAAAUAGAGACCUGUAUGAAUGGCCAAACGAGGGCUUAACUGUCUCCCCCUUCCAGUCAGUGAAAUUGAUCUAUCCGUGCAGAAGCGGAUAUAAUAGUACAAGACGAGAAGACCCUUUGGAGCUUAAGGUACAAAGUUCAACCACGUUAAACAACUCCGAAAAAAGCAGAAACUUAAUGGAAAGUGAAAUUUUACCUUCGGUUGGGGCGACCGCGGAGGAAAAACCAGCCUCCGAGUGGAAUGGGCUAAAUCCCUAAAACCAAGAGAAACAUCUCUAAGCCGCAGAACAUCUGACCAAAAAUGAUCCGGCCAAUCGACCGAUCAACGAACCAAGUUACCCUAGGGAUAACAGCGCAAUCCUCUCCCAGAGUCCAUAUCGACGAGGGGGUUUACGACCUCGAUGUUGGAUCAGGACAUCCUAAUGGUGCAGCCGCUAUACGUGAUCU